GAACAUACCCGUUCAGAUGGGGAUAGCUAUUAGAAAUAGUAGAUAAUACCGAAUACGAGCACAGGGGUUAGAGAUCUGUGAGGAAAGGAGCUAAGGCUCCGCUGAAGGAAUGGCCUGCGGCCCAUUAGCUAGUUGGUGAGGUAAGAGCCCACCAAGGCGAUGAUGGGUAUCCGGCCUUAGAGGGUGAACGGACACAUUGGGACUGAGAUACGGCCCAGACUCCUACGGGAGGCAGCAGCUAAGAAUAUUCCGCAAUGGACGAAAGUCUGACGGAGCGACGCCGCGUGGAAUGAAGAAGGCCGGAAGGUUGUAAAAUCCUUUUGAAACUGAAGAAUAAGCGUUGUAGGGAAUGACAGCGUGGUGACAGUAGGUUUUGAAUAAGCAACGGCUAAUUACGUGCCAGCAGCCGC
Molecule: ribosomal RNA, 410 nt
Filed under: uncultured bacterium
Lineage: Bacteria
Description: bacterial SSU rRNA
Rfam family: Bacterial small subunit ribosomal RNA
Source: RNAcentral